This 34623-nucleotide long non-coding RNA is filed under the name Podarcis lilfordi (Lilford's wall lizard). Lineage: Eukaryota; Metazoa; Chordata; Lepidosauria; Squamata; Lacertidae. The record is from RNAcentral.
GAUCCAGUGUGGUGCCUGGUUCUAUGGACCCAACCUGCUCUAUUAAACUGGUUGAAAUACUGAUACAUGCAAGUCUGGAUUCAUUUCCAGGAACUGCCUGGAAGCACUGGUGAGUCUUGUUUGGCUUUAGGCCUGGCACAUUGCUGCAUUAAGGAUUUCACAAUUUCCUCUGUGGCCUCCUGGAUUUCAUGUGAAUUACCUUCUCAGCCUACCUCCUAAGUGUCAGGUCCUUCAUCUGAUCAAUUGACUAGCCUUGGAUAUUUGUUUAAGGUUAUCUCUCCUCCCCCCUACCCCCUUCCUCUGCUGGUGCCCUUUGGCUGUUUUCAGUUUAAACCCACCCCACCCUUCUUCCAGUUCCUUCCUUUGAUGGAGAGAGUAAGUCCAGGUCUGUCUAAUGGGAACUGUGGUUCACUCUGUGAUGUGGUUCGUUAUCGCAAAGCUGUUAAUAAAAUCUGUGUGUUUCCCCAAGCUGUCACUCGGUCGAGAUGGGAAAUAUUCCCUGAGCUCAGGCAAUGUUUUAUCAUAACAGCAGCAUGCACAGGCUUGAUGAGCGCCAAAAGUCUUUUGUUUGGCUGGGUUUCUCCUCUCUCCAAUGGAUCAAGUGCAGUUUGGGCUGCUGUAAAACUGUGUAAGGAGCUGCAGUGGAAGCUGUCCUUCAGCAUGGCCUAGUGGUGAUGUUGAACCACCUUCCCAGUGUCUGCCGGCUCCCCACCCUCCCAGCUCAUGGUAGGAAUGUGAUGGGUUAUUUUGUCAGCAGUCGCAGGGGGAGGUUAGGGUUAAGAGGUGAGCGCUCCAGGUGCGGCUGAGCAUGAGGGUUUUAUACAUUUCGUUGGUGAGAAGGGAAUGCAUCCUUCGUUUCUAAUGACAGGGCACUGCAGGUAGGGACAUGAUGCUCCUUGUCUCGCAGAUGUGUGGUUAAGCAAAAGACAAUUGCAGAUGUUCCUGGAAUUCCCAAACCGGAUACAAAAUUGCUAAGAGGAUACAUAGAUGGGGGAGCGUUGCCAAGAGCUUUUACAUAAUGAGAGGAUCAUGUUAUGCUUCUCUCGCUUCAGGGCUCGGUUGAGCUCCUCAGCUCUUCUCUGAAGUUGGAGGUAGAACGCACAGAGUUCUCUCUUGUUAAGAGAGGUGUGUGUUUUUGCAUACAUGCAUGCACACUUGUACAUGUGUGUGUAUGUUUAAGCCCGGAACACCCCACAGCCUUGACACUGUAUAUAUCGGAUGAAAGAUUAAAGUUGUCUUUUUAAAGGUGUGCUAAAGUUUCCAUUGCAAACAAACAUCUCUGUGUGGAAAUCUGUCUUCAGUUUAGAAGGAACAUAGGAAGCUGCCAUACUGAGUCGGACCUUUGAUUCAUCUAGAUCAGUACUUUCUUCACUGGCUGGCAACAGCUCUCCGGGGGUUCAGGGAAGGAUCUCCCAGUCCUAUCUGGAGAUUCUCCACCUCUGGGCUUCAACCCCAGUCCACUUCCCUAGGUUUUCUCCAGUCCACCCUUCCCUUCCCUUCCCUUCCCUUCCCUUCCCUUCCUUUGGUGUUAAAAAGUGGAUUAAAGGGGGGAACAACCCCCCCUUAGGUCAAUAUUUGCAAAGCAGAUGGAGAGAUAGCUUCACACUUUCUCCAGGAGGGGAAUGGGAAGCAUUGCCACUUAGAAAACUGGUCAGGUGUGUAGGAAUUCCUUUCAAACUAUACUAGUGAAAAUGGAUCAGCCUGGGUUCCCUGUUUCCCUCACUUGUCAGGUGGAACUAAGCACCUGUGUCGCCUGGAAGGGGGGGAGGAAGUGCUCCUGUUCCUAUAAGACUGCUGCCAAACUCGUGAGGGCUCAGUUCUACAGAGCAUUGGGUUGUUGUUGUUUUUGCCAGGACAGAGAUUAGAAUUUGUUGAGGCAUCAAUCUGAUUUCAAUAACUGUCCUGUGAAGCAGAACCAUUGAGUGCCUUGUGACCCUCGACAGUCUCACUCCUGUCCCUUUUAAAUUUAUCCCUCUGAUUUGAAAUGCCUUAACUUGUAAUGCCAGUAAAGGUAUUUGUAUUGUGUUGCCCUCCUCAAAGGUGGGAUCAGAAAUCGGAACCAUGAUUUGAUACGUUUCCUAAAAUGCUUAUAGAGUACCACUGGCUGUGGCUUUGGGGGUGGUGCGGGGAGAAGCAAGGAAGAUUAUAGCCUAGGGAAUAGUGAAUUGUUUACUGAACCAUUGUGUGUGUGUGUGGGGGGGAAGACAUCUGGUCAUUGAUGGGGAAAGGAUGAUGGGCUCAGCUGUUCUUUUGCCAUCACUGAGAGCCAAACUGUAUUGGUGCCAAUGGGGGACAGCAGCUUCAGUGGAAUUUUUCCUUGGGACCGCAGUGGGAAAGGGUUAAACUCCUCAUCCUUACUUGCUUUGAUCCUGUAAAAUAAUAGUGCUGCCCCCCCGCAGAUGCUAUUUGCCCUUGAACAUCGAUCUGAACUCUGCUGUUGAUAGUAUAAAGUUAAAUGCUCUUUUCAACUUGCUUAUUUCUGUUGUGCAGAUGAGCAGUCAAACAAGUGGAAUUCGGGUGUCCAUUAUGGCAUUCCCAACUUCCAUCAGUCCCAUCCAGCACGGGCAGAGUUCAGGGAUGAAGGGUGCUGGAAUCCAGCAGUAUCUGGAGGCACCACAUUGACCACCCAUGAUCUGAAGAACCAUCUUCUUCACUUCCCAAACCAUCAGUGCUUGGCCACCCCACCUUCUGAUACUGCUCUUCCACUUCCAGAUUUCUGAAGGUGCACAGUGUCGUUUUUCAGAGGGCAGAUGGACACCACUAACUCCCCUGUUGUGAGCUUGGCUUGAGCAUGUACUCAAGAGAUGUUUAUUUGUUGCCUCGGGAGCAUGCACAAACUCCUUGCCAAGAGUCCAACAUCUGCACAAUUGAUACUUGGCAGGAAAUCCCUGUUUGGUCCCUGAAGGUAAUGAAUGAAAGAGGUUGGGUGUGCAUCCCACUAUUUCACUCUUUGGCUCUGCUGUGCCAAUGGCCCUGACCUGACAGGGACCAUCCCAUGUCCACCAUCACUAUAAUGAGGCAAGUCUGUGUAUGUGAGUGUAUGAGACAGCGUUAUAAAUUGUCAAUGGAUCUAUACCAGGAAAUAGCCUAGGUAUUCAGCUGCCUGGGCAACUAGGAGUUUUUGAAAUCUCCCUCAAAGCAUACAGACCUAGAAUACAACAUUUGGGAGUUAAAAACCCCUGGGAAUGGAGAUCCCUCCCCUUGCUGCAACUCUGAGAAUUUCCUCUGUGGCUUUGACUCUGACAGUUUUCAUAAAGUAGUACAUACUUCAAAGCACUAAGCAACCAUAAUAAAGGUUUUAUUUGCAAAAGAGCUCUGCUCCCAUUUAUCCUGCAUGCUGAGCUUUUGUGACUGACCAAAUCUUCCCCCUCACGGAAUGUGAACGGCUAAAACGCGCGCGCACACACACACACACACACACCACUUGUGCAAAGCAAAAGCCGCGUUGUUUUGCUUAAGAGAGAGGUGAAGAGGAAAAAUAAACUUGGCCCUGAUUCUGGGGCCUGAAUAUAUUUUUUUUUGCCAAUCAGCUCCAUUAUCCUCAACACUCAAGAUUGAAAAUAAAUUCCCCUCCAUUGUGUGAGGCUCCCCCUACCCCCAGCUUUCCAAAGCAACUGUAUUUUGCUUUCUUUGAUGACACUGGGGCUCCAGGAGAAUCGCUGCCCUCCCCACCCGCUUUUAUGACACACUGUAAGGGAUUUAGGCUUGAGUGCAGGUGGGUUUUCUCCCCCCUUGCUGUCACCUGGACAUUGCCAUGGAGAUAAUCCUCAGUGAAACAAAAAUAAGAGUAGAACCGGUUGGACAGAAAGUGCAAGGCUGAGAGCUCGUAGCUGGAGGAGGGGAGGGAUAAGUGGCGUAAGGCCAAGGCGAGGGCAGCGGAGGCUCGGUGGGGAGCCUGCCUUGGCUCUAGAAUUCGCUUGAAUCCAGCGAUUUGGGGGGGAGCAUUGCAGCACUUAAUCAACAAUAGGCAAGUCCUCUCCCGUUGAGUUUAGAUGGGAUUAUUUGUGUCCUCGGACAGGAUUCUGCCGAUUUCCAGUCAGCACAGUAAAGCAGGUCAGCGAGGCCAGCGUCUCACCAAAUGUAACGAACACGAGAGUCCCCUUGAGCAAACAUUUGUGCAUGUUGCUUGCCUAGGCAUCUUCCUGGCUGACCAGUUUUUAGUGCUAGAUGGAAUUCUGCAGCGUAAGCAAAGACCACAUGGGAGGAUUUCGAGCCAUGGCGGUGCAUUCGCUACCUGGCUGCUUGGUAACUGUGUAUUCCUGACAUAAGCCUUUUGUGUUGGAAGGAUUGUUUGGCUUUGCUUUUUAGCUAAUCUUCCCAUUAUCCUGUUGAAAGAUGCCGUGUGUGUAGCAGUCUGUAUAUUCUGUAGUACCGCUUAGCACCAUAAUAUGUUGUUGGCCUAGUCUUGCAUUUCUUGAUGCAACAGAGGAAAGCCCCAGUGUCAUUGCCUAUGUUUUCAUUGCAAGUUCAUGCUGUAACCUAUAUACAGCCACUUUGUAUUUGACUUGUUGUCAGAUUAGAACUGCACUUUUAUUUUCUUUUUUCUUUCUCUUUUUAAUUUCACUUCUGCAUGACACAGACCUGAAGCUCCGUAGACACCUACAGAACUAAGGUCUAUCAAAUCAACUGAUGCCAAGAUCUGAGCAAGGCAUUGUAACAGAGUCUUGUGAAAACAUCAGUUAAUAAUAAUAUAAUAAUAAUUUAUUAUUUAUACCCCGCCCAUCUGGCUGGGUUUCUCCAGCCACUCUGGGCAGCUUCCAACAGAAUAUUAAAAUAUUAAUAUACAUAAUAUAUGUUAAAAUACAAUAACCUGUUAAACAUUAAAAGCUUCCCUAAACAGGGCUGCCUUCAGAUGUCUUCUAAAAGUCUGGUAAUUGUUUUUCUCUUUGACAUCUGGUGGGAGGGCAUUCCACAGGGUGGUUUACUUGCAUUCAGAUGACUGGAAUUUGACCGGGAAUCCAGAAUUAGAUAGGGAAGUGGGGAAGGAACUGGCCAUGUUGUGCUUGCAUGCAUCAUCUCUGAAAAUUUGUUUCAUUCACUCAGUGGUUUCUACAUCUGUGUGGCUUGUACUACCAUGUUUUCAUGGGUCCUGUGACCUUUCUGGAAUUGGGUUCAUCCCUGAAGACCUUUCAAUAUCUGGUGGGGUUUCAAACAAUGGCUGGUGGCUCCUCCUCUGCCUCCUUCUGGUGCAGCCAACGGAGCAGGACUGCUUUGACCUGCUUUCCCCUCUACAGCAGCAGCAGGAUAAGGAGCUUCCAUGCUUUGGGGACAUGGGAGGGGCUGGCCCUGACCCCCAAAAUAUUGAGGGGGCCCCAAAAGGUCUCGGCUUCCAGGAGCUGGUGCCCCUGCACCUUCAUUGUCACCUCACAUUCCUGCCUAGACAACAACGGGGAGGGGGACACAAGAAGCCUGAGGAUGAGGUUGUAGCUUUUGAUUCCAAGGUAAUGAUUCUUUCAGUAUUGCUGGGCUUGUGUAUCCUUCCCAGAAUAGCAGAUUGUAAAUUUCUUCUUCCUUUUCAAUCUUGGUUGGCUCCCCACCACCAUCGAGCCUUGAAUAGAGUAUAUUUUGGGGUUGAGUGCCAAGAACAUAGAAUUUACUCUGUGGAAUAUCUCUCUAGGGGGAAUUCGGCAGCAGAAGGGGGCAGUUGAUGGAGGAGGACUGUGGGCCUCUUGUUCGCAGGCCUCGAUUGAAGGUUUCUGUGGUCUGCCCUGGGGCCAGCCACCGGGGUGUCAGGAAGUUUGGCAUGAGAUUAUUACCUAGGGCCACCAGCAAACUCUGGAGUAGAGCGAAAGAUCAGCCAGCAGCCUCGUAUUUUUUUGGACGUAGCCUAGGCAAAUAUUGAGAUACUUUCUUUUUAACAUGGAGGCUGGGCAGGAAGUAAGGUUCUUUGGCGCCCAUUUGAUUGCUAAUGGUAGCAGAGAUGGAAAACUUAAUCUAUGUGGCAUGCGUAAGAAGCCAGUAGCUCAUUAGGUUGCUGGGGAGUGUGCAGGAUGGCUUUUAGAGGCCACCGAAAGACGUUCUGAGGUUUCAGACUCCCCACAAAAGUAUGGCUGUGCCUUCUGCUUUAAAUACCUCUCUGGUACUAAAAACGGCAUUACUUUUAGUGGUGACGUUAAACAGAAUGUAAGGUUUUAAUUGCAUAAUCUGUUCACUUCUUUAAAAUGUCACUUGGAAUUUCAUCUUUCCCCUCCAUGGGCUCCGCGUGUUCAUUCCACAGGCCGUAUGUGCCACUUUUGCCUGUCUGCAUAAAAGGAGAUACACAAUGCUGUUUCUAAGCCAGGGAUAGUAAAUCUGUAGCCACCCCAGACAUUAUUGGACUACACCUCCAUUAUCCAUAAUCUUGAAAGACCUACACUGGCUCCUAGUACGUUUCCGAGCACAAUUCAAAGUUUUGGUGCUGACCUUUAAAGCCCUAAACGGCCUCGGUCCAGUAUACCUGAAGGAGCAUCUCCACCCCCAUCAUUCUGCCCAGACACUGAGGUCCAGUGCUGAGGGCCUUCUGGCGGUUCCCUCACUGCGAGAAGCCAAGUUACAGGGAACCAGGCAGAGGGCCUACUUGGUAGUGGCACCCACCCUGUGGAAUGCCCUCCAACCAGAUAUCAAAGAGAAAAACAACUACCAGACUUUUAGAAGACAUCUGAGGGCAGCCCUGUUUAGGGAAGCUUUUAAUGUUUAAUUGGUUAUUGUAUUUUAAUAUUCUGUUGGAAGCCGCCCAGAGUGGCUGGGGAAACCCAGCCAGAUGGGCGGGGUAUAAAUAAUAAAUUAUCAUAAUCAUCCAUAACUAUUUAUCUUGGGAUAGCUCAGUUGGUUUUAGAGUGUGGUGCUGAUAAUGCCAAGGUUGCAGGUUCGAUCCCCACUAUAUGGGACAGCUGCACAUUACUGCAUUGCAGGGGUUUGGACUAGAUGGUCCUCAGGGUCCCUUCCAACUCUACAAUUCUAUGGGUUUAUGGUUCUCUUGGCCAUAUUGGCUAGAGCUGUUGAAGUUGGGGUCUGGCAAGAACUGGAAGACCAUAGGUUCUCCACCCCUGUCCUGAGCAAAAUGCCCUUCUCCCAUUCCUGUGGCAGGCACUUGCUAGCUUUAUAUGGAGAGAUGGAAAGGCAUAAAAAGAGGGGGUGGGGGUGGGGCAGAAAAUGGAGACCAAAUGUUCUUCUGGACCUGGAGUUAUCCAUGAAUGGAUGGUGGAAAAAACAUACAUUUUAUUGCUGGUUUGUCAAAUGCAAAGCAACCUUGAAGAGGGAUGGCCUGUUCCUCUACAAGAGACAGCCUUUGAAGAUACUGGUCUUUAUUACUUUGGAGGUUGCUUUUGUUUUUGUUUUGCAAAAUUUAAAAAUUAUUGCAAAGGAUUCAUAUGGCCAAAAGCAGAGAACCCUGGUCUCUCUGCCACAUAUGCCCCUCUGGCAUAGAUGUAUCAAUUCACAGCCACCAGGGCCACAUGUUCUUUUAAAGGAGUGUGUUUGCCCACCAAGCUGUUCCCACUGCGAAUGUAUGCAAGGCUGAAAAUGCAUCAUCUGCUGUCCGGUGCAGCUGCUAUCCUGCUGUCUUUUGGGUACCUGCUGCCCAGCAUGGCAUGGGAAAGUAUGAGCUUUUUCUCCAUCUGUACUGCCCAGCCCUCUGGGCUAUCCAGUUUUCUUAGACAGCCUGAGACGCAGUGGCUUUUUUGCUGCCUGUUUGCUUUACUCCCAGCCUUGCCAGUGAGCCAUACUUCACCAUUAUUAUUAUUUUGCAGCCUCGAUGACAGUUUGCUGAACUCAUGCAUGCAUUUUUUUAAUUAUUUUUUUUUUAGGAUAUAAAAUUGAAAGCAGGGUAAAGUGCCAGGAACACAAACCCCACCAGGCAGCCGUGCUGUUUUAUAACAGCUGUGUGGGUCUGCCUGCUGAAGGAGGAGGCCCGCUCUGUGGUAUGUUUGCCUUAGGAAUUUUAACCAGGUGGGCCUUGUAUGUUUUAAGGUGUAUGCUUGAAGGCAUCUACUUUUAACCCAUUAGGGACAUGGAUUUUGGGAGGCAGGCCGGGUCUAGAAGAGCUUGAGCUGAUAAAAUGGCAUGAUAAUUGGGCAUGAAAGGAGAGAGGAGCAAGUGAGAUGGUUCAAGGAUUUCCUCCACCUGCCUCUACUUCCUUUCACUGCCUUCCACCUAGGACAACACACAAAUGUUACAUAUUGAUUCAUACAGGGGGAGGGACAAGCAUGAACUGUUUCACAAGUUUUCCUGCAUGCAUAAAGGGUGAGGGGGGAGAGGUAAGCAGACCCGACUCCACUUCCACUAUACCAGGCUUCCUCAAACUCGGCUCUCCAGAUGUUUUUGGCCUACAACUCCCAUGAUCCCUAGCUAGCAGGACCAGUGGUCAGGGAUGGUGGGAAUUGUAGUCUCAAAAAAUCUGGAGGGCCAAGUUUGAGUAAGCCUGCAAUAUACACUUCUCUGAGCCACUUGCCCUGUUCAUGUAGGGCAGCGUUUCCCAAACUCUGGAUUUCCAGUUGGGUUUUUUUGGACUACAAUUCCCAUCAUCCCUGACCACUGGUCCUGCUAGCUAGGGAUGAUGAGAGUUGUAGUCUAAAAAAACCACAGCUGAAGACCCAAGUUUGGGAAACCCUGAUGUAGGGCCUGAGGUUUGUACAGCAAGGACCAGAGCAGCAUUUUAGCCCCUACCCUUGGCAUCCUUUCCUGUUCAGUAAACUCAGCUUGUGUGUGAUUGCACCCAAACAAUCAGAUGCCCUGAUUAUGGAGAAUCGGGGUUGGGAUCCGCUGCAUGUCCUAGAUGCAAUGCUGUUGUCUUACCCUGCUGUGAUAGGUGUAUAGCCACCCCCUGGUGUUUUUGUUAAUCCCGUAGCAAAUGCCGAACUUGUGGCUGGGGCAGAGGUAUGCAUACAAACUCUGCCCUAGAGUCCUUGUGUGUUUCGUGUGUCCCCUGUCCCCGCUCGGCCCCCACACUGAAAGGAGACCCCCUUGAAAUCAACGGGCUUAAGUUAAGAUGGAUAUCACGCCUAUAUUUUAUGUGCAUUGCCAUUUGAGGUCAGUCAUGUCACUGUAUGUCUAAUUAGAGUAUUGCUCAGCACUUGAUGAAGAUGCUGUCUUCCUGGCUCUGUGUUUUUCGUCCCUUCAGGACCAAAACUGCUGCUAGAAUUAUGCUCUGGUUAGUGAAUCACUAGCUGUAGUCAGAUCAUUUCAGGACCUGUGUCUCGAAAUCAUACUUCAUUUAUCUCUAGGGCAUGAGAGUUUUCCAGAGCACUUCACAUCAAUCAUUGGAGUUUUUCUUCCAGCAACCAGUAUUAUUCCCUCUCUGUUGUUGGCCUGUGGAGGUGUGGGCAUGCUGUGAAUAGCAAAGCCAUGGGAGAAGUGAGACCUGAACUGGUGGGUUUUUGGCUCCUUGGCCAAUUUGCUGCACUACCUCAGUGAAAACACCCACUCUAGUGGGCAUGGAGUGUAUUUCAUCAUUCUGAAAGUGGGAGAGCGUGCAGACAGCCAGAGGGCAUGUCUGUGUCCAAUCAUGAAUGAAGGAGGGAAUCCCCAUAGAUAGGAAUCUUGAUUGAAUCCAAUGCCUUGAGGAAAAAGGAUUUGGAAAGGGAGAUGCACUGACAGUUGCACCGAAACUCAUGCCAAGUAUCCUAAAUAAUGCCAGUUGUUUUGUCUGUUGUAACUCUAGAAGCUAGGCAAGCUCUGAGCUGGUGCAAGGGUGGAGUUCAGCCCAUGGAUUAUGAAGAAUUAGUCCCCAUGGUCAUCUUGGCAGUGCCUAGUCCUGAGUGAAAUCUAAUUGUGGUAUUUCUUAACGAGAGAGAGAAGGGGGGGGGAGGUAGAGAGCAUCUGCUGUCCCCUUGAGAAUAGCCUGAAUUGCCUUGCAUAAGUCAUGCUGGAGGAUUUUAAAAAUUGGAUUCUAGGUGAGGGGAUUGGUGGAGUACCUCCAAUUUCAAUUGGGUCUGCAGCAUGCAGGGAUGUGAGCCUUAACCAUUCUCUUCCCAGCUGGGGUCCCGAUGGAUUUAGUGCACACCUGCACCCAUGCUGCAGUUAGAAACACAGAAAAACCUCCCAUUGGCACUAGUUGGCUGUUCUUCAGAAGGUACUGAAAGGAAACAGGAAGGAGGACUUCAAUGGGGGUGCCCCUUUUUGGCUUAGUGGAGGUGUAGAAGUCAGAUCCUUCUGCUGACCCGACCCUACCUAACCGGUACCCGUCUUGCAGUCGUUGAAUGCAGACCGAGGUGGUGCUUGAGAAUGAUUGAUUGAUUCUUUGCCUAUUCCACAGAAUGCAAUGUUUGGGAGCGACUGCUUUGCAACAUGUCCCAAUGCACUAGGCUGCUUGGCCGGUCCUGCCUGCUUUUGUCUCCUAUAGUGUGGUUUUUGUGGUUGAAACCACACCAAGCUUGUAGAGGAGGAAACCCAUUAAGGAUUAAGAGGUCAGUCUGCAUUCUGCAUAGUUUCUGUAUGUGUCUGAAUGCAAGUCUCAGAGCCACUUGCUUCUAUCAGCGUCACCAGCAACCCCUGCAGGGCACAGGUGGAACGUGACUCUCCCAAGCAAGAGGCAGUUCCCACAGACCGUCUUCUCCUGCCUGAGAUGGAAGGAAUCUAUUCAGAGGCCAGGAUUUAUGAACCUAGCCUCUUACCCAAAGGCCUUCUCAGAGGUUUACAGUGACCCAGGCCAUUUCCAGCUUCUGAGCGACCUAGCCAUGUUAAAAAUAAAAAAUGAUGACACACAAAAACCUAUUUAAGACACCCAGAAAAGAGCCAGUGGCUUGUUUAUAGAAUCAGCUGAUCUGAGAGGGAACGUUCUUCAUGGUCAAAUCUUGUUCCAUCAGAACCGAUACUUUCUUAAUCAUUUUUGUGAAUAUUUUUAGCUCUUUAAUAUGACAAAAUCUAUUACCAGUUAACACAAAAAAUAUGUCUUUUACCAGAUCACUUCUCCUAUUUGCUUAAAUCUGCACUUCUAAGCUGAGAGUGUGUGUCACAUUUUGGUCCAAUGUGCAUACAAACAAGUUGCAAAAAUUAUCAAAUAGUUUUUAAAAAACCUCAAGUGUCAAAAUCAGAGACUCGUUUUGAGCUUAAUGCCCUAGGUCUAAUGGCUAUCCUGCCCAACAUCCAUUGUUUGGCCCUGUUUGUCUAUAACUGUGAAAGUGUAAAUGUGUGUGUAUGUGUGUGCAGGUCACAGAUUAAAAGAAUCAAGGAGCAGCACCUGAUAUGAAAAACCCUUUGUCUGAAACCCCUGGAGAACCAUUACCAGUCAGAUGUUACUGGUCCAGAUAGACAAAUGGCAUGAAGCUUCGUCUGUAGCUUGGUGAUGCUCAUGUAUAUGGCACUUCUCUGGGAUAUUCAGUUAGGAAUGAUAGCCGCAAAGGCCUUCUGGUUCGCCAGCUGUGCCCCUUCCUGGGAAAGUUAACAUCUCCACAGUCAUCCCUGCCCUAGUUCGCACCAGGUUGGACUACUGCAAUGUACUGUACAUGGGGCUAGCUUUGAUGACCGACUGGAAAUUUGACUUUGUGUAGAAAGCAACAACCAGCAUUUUGUCUGGGGCUAGCUAGUUGCUGAGAUCAUAUUUAUGCCACUCAUGUACCAGUUUUAUUGGCUACUAAUUAAUUUCUGUGUCCAAUUCAAGGUGCAGUUUCUGACCUAAACAAUUUGGAACUGAACUAGGCUGUUUCCUCUUGCCUGUGGCCUUUUCAACCAAGGCACCUUAAUUUUGGAAAGAUAUACCUGCCCUCAUCACUGUCUGCUCUCAGGAAAGCUCAAAAUCCAUUGGGCAUUUAGAAUUCCUUAAAAUGAUUGUCUCUGUGAAGCGUUGAGGUUUUCAUCCUUCCACUUUUCUUGGUGGGGGCUGGGGUUGUGUAUGCAUCAUAGUCAUAUUUUAUUCACUGUAAGUUUCCUUUAAUGCAUAUUAUAAAGGUAACAGGACCCCUGACCAUUAGGUCCAGUCAUGACCGACUCUGGGGUUGCGGCACUCAUCUCACUUUAUUGGCCGAUGGAGCCGGCGUACAGCUUCUGGGUCAUGUGGCCAGCAGGACUAAGCUGCUUCUGGCGAACCAGAGCAGCGCACGGAAACGCCGUUUACCUUCCCGCCGGAGCGGUACCUAUUUAUCUACUUGUACUUUGACAUGCUUUCGAACUGCUAGGUGGGCAGGAGCAGGGACCGAGCAAUGGGAGCUCACCCCGUCGCGGGGAUUCGAACCACUGACCUUCUGAUCGGCAAGUCCUAGGCUCUGUGGUUUAACCCACAGAGCCACCCACGUCCCACAUAUUAUGCAGAAGUGCAAUUAAUUUCUGGUCUUCUCGGUGUGGAAUUCAUGAUACAGUUGGAGGGACCGCAGAAGGAGCUCCCAGUGGAGGCAGUGAUGGCCAACAACGUGGAUGGCUUUACAAGAGGGUUAGACAAUUUAAUGGAGGAUAAGUCUGUCCAUGGCAACUAGCCAUAACAGCUGUGUUCCACUGCCACUGUCAGAGACAGUGUGCCUCUGAAAACCGGUUCCUGGGUAUCACAGGUGGGGAGAGUGCUGUCACACCCAGAUCUUGCUUGUAGCAGCCCCACACUGUUGCUUGCAGCAGUGCCAACCACCACUAGGUACUGCGAGAACAAGGUGGUGGACUAGGUGGGCCUUUGGCCUGGUCCAGCAGCGCACUUCUUAUAGUCUUUCCCCCAGAAAUGCCUGGAAUGCCAAUGAAAUAACAGGAAGGCCAACUGCAGAAGCCACUCUGGUCUCAAGAUGGUUCUGGUUGGAACACGGGUUUAAACACUACUGAGCCAGAGCAGAACACAAACUCCAUGUAAAUCUUGAUGCCAAAUGAACUUCUCAUCCUUCUUGAAGGCUGGGAGUCAGGCUUGUUUGUGCAUGGGUGAGCAUGAUACUUGGUUGCUUCUAUUAUCUUGCAAUAAACACUUUCAGAAGGAAUUGUUCUCCCUACUUGGCUGAUUGCCACAGGAAUGUUCUGAGAUUGCCACACACACUUCCAUCUUCCCAAGGAGUUUGAAGGAUGUGUGAUUCCCAGCGUGAACUUGAAAGGGGGACAGAAGUAGUUAUUCUAGAUUUCAAUACAUUGCAGGUAAUCUAUGCAAACAGAGUAUGCAAAGUUGGCAAAGUCAUUAAAGGAACUCUCCUGUAAAAAGAAAGAAAGAAAGAUUAAAUUAAUGUUCUUCCCUGCUUUCCCAGAAACGAUGCCUACUUUCAUUGCCACAUGACAUGGCUCUUCUGAUUUGAAGUUCUGCAUUGGUCACAUUGGCUCAAGAGCAGAAUCACUGUUCAUGAGCACAAGAGGAAAAGGCCAUUUAGCACCUGGGCUCCAAGAGAAGAUGUAGAGCUGGGUGAUGCUGGACUCCCAUCUCCCAUCAGUCCCAGCCAGCAUGGCCAAUGGUCGGAGAUAAUGGAAGUUUGAGUCCUAUAGUAUCUGGAGGAAGGCAAGUUCUCCAUCCCAUUUCUACAACUGGCUAAUUUGCCAAACCAAAAUAUUGACAAAAUGUUCACUUUAGAAAAUAUGGUUUUGUUUUAUUUUAUUGGUUCCCACUAGCCUUGAGACUGCAAAGGUGUUUUCUUUUUCAAACAGGAAAACAAACUUAAUGAGCCUGGUCUGGGGGCCCCCAAGUGCAGAUUGCCUCACUUGGCUCCCCUCCCCUGAGUCUUUAGAGGUGAGAGCAGAGGCCCCUCGGGAAUACCGUUGACUUGAGACUGAGUGAGAGAACCUAUUAAAUGGGAAUUGGCCAAAUCAAUAAAUCAAGGCACCUGAAAGCUGAAACUAAGGUCUAAGGUGGUUAUGCUGCUAGCAUUCCGCGCUCCUCUCGUCAAUUAAAACAAACACAACUAAGAUGGCAAACAUGUCAUUCUGCCACAUUAUGUUAAACGGAAAAGCGUUUGUUCAGUUGGACACAGGUAGAUGUGCAUGCAACUGUAAUGCUUUAAGGAUUGGUCACCUUUUAAAAAUGGAAAACACAAGUCAGUGCUAUGGAAGUGUGACCAUUCCAACUACAGUGGUACCUCGGGUUAAGAACUUAAUUCGUUCCGGAGGUCCAUUCUUAACCUGAAACUGUUCUUAACCUGAGGUACCACUUUAGCUAAUGGGGUCUCCCGCCGCCCCCACACAAUUUCUCUUCUCAUCCUGAGGUAAAGUUCUUAAUCCGAGGUACUAUUUCUGGGUUAGAGGAGUCUGUAACCUGAAGCAUCUGUAACCUGAAGCGUCUGUAACCCGAGGUACUACUGUACAGUGUUCUGUCUAGAGCAGGGCUUCCCAAACUUGGGUCUCCAGCUGUUUUUGGACUACAGCUCCCAUCAUCCCUAGCUAGCAGGACCAGUGGUCAGGGAUGAUGGGAAUUGUAGUCCUGAAACAGCCGGAGACAUGAGUUUGGGAAACCCUGGUCUAGAGAAGCAGUCUUAAUGAUUAUAGAAAGGGUAGCCAAGGUGGUACCAUCUCAAUGUUGUGGCAAUUUUAGGUACAGGUUUUAAUUUGGGUUGCUCCCCCCCCCCGGCAUACUUAAUAUAUUUUGUAAUAUUUCUGUAGUGCUUAGCAGCAGCAGUUCUUUUCUGGUCUACAGAGUGGGGUACAAAUAGAAACAAUAGCAUUCCACAUGUGGACUGGGGCCAGUAUGAAAGUAGAUCACAUACCUCUCCCAGCAGCUGCCAGGAAUGUGAGCUGAAGCACCACGUGGUGACCCAGAGCCAUGUGUUGAAUGUUCGCAUGUGUUGAAUGGAGAAGGUGGUGCGUCUCAGCGGUAGAGCAUCUGCUUUGCGUGCGAAAGGUCCCACGCUCAAUACCCAGCAUCUCCAGGUAGGGCUGAGAGAGAUCCCUGCCUGAAUCCCUGGAAGGAUGCUGCCAGUCCAUGAGUAGACAAUACUGAGCUAAAUGGACCAAUGGUCAGACUCAGUUUAGGCAGCUUUCUAUUUUCCUAAAGAUAAAGGUAAAGGGACCCCUGACCAUUAGGUCCAGUCGUGGCCAACUCUGGGGUUGUGGCGCUCAUCUUGCUUUAUUGGCCUAGGGAGCCAGCGUCCAGCUUCCGGGUCAUGUGGCCAGCAUGACUAAGCCGCUUCUGGCAAACCAGAGCAGCACACGGAAACGCCGUUUACCUUCCCACCGGAGCGGUACCUAUUUAUCUACUUGCACUUUGACGUGCUUUCGAACUGCUAGGUUGGCAGGAGCAGGCACCGAGCAACGGAAGCUCACCCCGUCGUGGGGAUUCGAACCACUGACCUUCUGAUCGGCAAGUCCUAGGCUCUGUGGUUUAACCCACAGCGCCACCCGUGUCCCUUAUUUUCCUAUGUCCUUGCAAAACAAUGUAUGAUUAGACAAAACUGCAUGCAAAAAAAAGAAGUGAUUAUUAUGAGAAAGUUAAACUAAAAUGCUGAUUACAGGUAGGUAACCGUGUUAGUCUGCCAUAGUCGAAACAAAAUAAUAAUAAUAAUAAAAUUCCUUCCAGUAGCACCUUAGAGACCAACUAAGUUUGUUAUUGUUAUUCAGAUACUGUCUGAAGAAGUGUGCAUGCACACGAAAGCUCAUACCAAUAACAAACUUAGUUGGUCUCUAAGGUGCUACUGGAAGGAAUUUUAUUAUUAUUAUUAUUAUUAUUAUUAUUAUUAUUAUUAUUAUUAUGAUUCUGAUGAAUUUCUAUGAGGCUUGGUUAAAAAAAUAAUCAUCGUAAAUUGCUGCAGAAAUGUGGAGAAAUGAAUUUAAUGUGGGGAAGAAAUGAAAUCAAAAGAACCUUCCAUCCCUUCUUGUAACCGUUCCCCCCGAUUUUUCAGAAUGGAAUACAACAUGUGAACGGCCUUUGCUUAAUACUGGUAUGCUACCCAUUUUAUCCCUCCUAGAAAUUAGACCAUGAAUAUUUCAUCAAGAAAAGGCUGUACACAGAAUGAAGCGGUUCUAGCACACAGCUAUCGAACGUAGACUAGUAAUGGCAAUACUGCAGAGAAUCUGUUCUUGAGUAGGAACUCAUUUGAUGUGGUUGGUGGAUGCAGAUGAGAUAUUUGUAGCUGCUUUUACCAUUUUAAAAUCAAAGGAGCCAGUUAGCUCCCAGGCGAGGAGUUCUGUUCUUUUUUUAGUACAUGUUAUGUUGCAUAUUGAGAGGGCAAUGGAAGAGCUCAGGUUUGCCUCUAUCCAAAGGCCAAAUUCAGGGUGGGGAUGGUUUUGUGAAAUUUCUUCUCCACCCUGCCUCCAUAGUUGGCUCUAAUCCUUACCUACGGGCCUGUCUCAUGGAGGAUGCGAAUUAAUUUCCCCUCCUGAUCCACUCUGGGGAGUCCAUUGUGUGCAUUAGACAGGCUUUUGUGGUGCUAAUUUACCGGAUCAGAUUGGGCAAUUAGCUGUUUAUAGGACUGGGUGUGAUGUGUAAUUUUCCUGUUACACUGCAAAAGGUGCAUAUGUGUGUGUCUAUGCAAUCAAAAUUUAUCCCCUCCCUCUCCCAAGCUCAUUUCCCUUGGGCUCACUUGAAAGUCACCAGUAUGAAGUCAGUGAGGGAAAAAUCUCUCACUUCUUGUGGUUUUGGUGAGACUUUCAUGAUGCCCCAUCCAACCUGAAUUUUCUUGUGUAGUAAGGGGUAGCAGCCUGUUUUCAGAUCCUUCUUGUAUAAGUGUGAGCUGGAUUACUAAUUCCUCUUGUUAACAGGCCAAUUGCUAACUAAAGUCUGUUCUGUCUAUGACUCCACACUCAGCUCCACACCCCCCCCCACAACUGAUGCAGCUGAUGUGAUUAAUGUUUGUCUUCUAACUAUUGAGGUGGGGGGGGAGAGGGUCAACUGCAGAUUGUUGACUUAAGUACAGCUGCUCUAAAGAAAGUUGGCAAUUCCUUUGCCGUGGAUAAGUAUGGAAUUGGAGGACUUGCAUGUUGGCACAAACGUGUGAGGAUAUUUGAAUUAUAUUAAUCAUUUGAUUUAAUUUGAUGUUAAUUUGUUAAAUUUUUUGAAAAGCGAUAAAAUUAAUUGGCAAAAAUAAAUAAACGUGCAGGUAGAUUUGCCUCCACUCCUAUUCUUUCUAAGGUUGUGUGCACAUUCAAAGCACACAGUCUUCUAAGAAUUCUGGGUAGUUUACGCCUCACAGAGUUAAAAUUCCCAAGUGACAGUGCCGGGGCGAGCGGGCAGUAUUCUGUGGCUCUGUCCAGGUAUUGCCAUGGGUGCAACCCUGAUAGCUCUGUUGUGCCCACCGAUCUUACAGAACUUCCAGGUUAGCGGAGUCUGUAACCUGAAGUAUUUGUAACCCAAAGCAUUUGUAACCUGAGGUACCACUGUAUGUAUAUAUAGAACAGGGGAAUCCCCACAUGCACACAUCCUGUAAUGCAGUGUUUCUCAACCUGUGGGUCCCCAGAUGUUUUUGGACUACAACUCCCAUCAUUCCUAGCCAGCAUGAUCAGAGGUCAGGGAUGAUGGGAGUUGUAGUCCAACAACAUCUGGGGACCCACAGGUUGAGAACUCCUGCUGUAAUGGAACCCCAGUGUCAGUGGCUCCCACAGGGGAGCCACAGAAAGAAUGUGGUUGGUCAAGGGCGCCGUGGAUUAAAAAAGGUUGAAAACCACUGUGCCCAGAAUAUCUAGGUAGGAAUAUUCCCUGCCUAAAACCCUGGAGAGCUGCUGCCAGUCAGUGUCAAGAAUACUGAGCCAGAUGGACCGGUGGCCUGUCAUGCUAUAAGGCCGCUUCCUCUAUUCCUGUGACAAAGUCUGUGAUUCAUAUGAACCUGUUAGACUAGAUGAGUUCAUUAGGAACCGUCUGUAUAAUGCACAGCCCCAGGAUAGCGGAGGAUGCCAGACAUCCUUUCCCCCUCAUAUCUGAGGAGUGAAACAGUUCAGUUUAGAUUGUGAAACUGUCCGGGAUGAUGCCUGCCUCCUGGGGAUUUUCCAGCUGGCAGUGUGGGAGCAAACAGGCUUCGAUGGAGCGCCUUCAGGAAGAAUUCCAGACAGAACUCCGAGAACAACAUAACAGGUUUCAUUAGUUCUGGCUCUGAUAUGAUUUACCUCCCUGCUGAUACCUCCCAUCCCAAUCCAUCACCACUGUGCCCACAAAAAUCUCCCUGAUCGUUUAGUGAAGAGAAGCCUUACCUUAAUGGCCAUGGCGUGUUUGAAAUGCAGGUGGUAUAAAAGCUCAAUGUCAUUAUUAUUAUUAUUUUGCAUCAAUUAGCCUCACCAAAACAGCAUCCUUGGCACCUGAUCCAGACCUCUGCAACAGAAGUAGGUUUUCAUUCAUAAAACUGGAAGGAAUACUCUUCGGCUGAGAGUAGAAAAGAGCUAAAAAAGAAGUCGAGAGUCAAAGGAGCUUAAUCCCAAAAAGCCUGGAAGAAAUAUUGUAUAACUUCUAAUGGGCUGCUUUGCUAGCUGCCAAACCGUGAAACUGAUUUAUGCUGUUUAUGGUUAGAGUGUGUUGCCUCUUUCUGCUCUCACCUGUGUUAUUCUGCCUGGCCAGGAAACAAAUCCUGGAUUGCUUUUGCAGCCAAGGCACUUCUGGGUCUUCAAGCCAGUCAACCAGCCUAAGUUGCCUGAGAUUCCUGGUACUCAUGAGCGUAUCAGGUGGCUUGGGGUGCCAGAGAAAGAAACUACAGGUGUGGCCACAUCAUGGCUUGCUGAAAUGGAAUCCUUUUCAAGAUCAGUUCCCCUGAGCUCCUGCUCAAAGAAAACCCCUGUCUGGAUGGAAUGUGUCCUUGAAUAAUAAAAGGGACUCUUGCUUGCCUGGAUGAAGGAUAAGGAGAAGUGUGUGUUUGUAGGAAGCAGCCUAUUUUACAUAGAUGAAAUUGGUAUUCAUUUCUCUGCCACCUUUGCCUCUGACCCCUCUCACUCCUGGCAUGUGACCUCUGGAAGCUAGCCUAUAAGUGAAUGUGGCCUUCAGAGCUAAAAAUGUUUCCCACUCCUGAUGUCCUGGGUAAAGGACCCCUGGACAGUUAAGUCCAGUCAAAGGCGACUAUGGGGUUGUGGCGCUCAUCUCACUUUCAGGCCGAGGGAGCCGGCGUUUGUCCACAGACAGCUUUCCGGGUCAUGUGGCCAACAUCACUAAACCAAUUCUGGCUCAACGGAACACCAUGAUGGAAACCGGAGCGCACGGAAAUGCCGUUUACCUUUCUGUCGCAGUGGUUUAUCUACUUGCACUGGCGUGCUUUCGAACUGCUAGGUUGGCAGGAGCUGGGACGGAGCAACGCGAGCUGCUGAUGUCCUGGGAUAGAUGUCUAGCUGGCGUCAUGGCAGUAGAACCAGCAGUUCCUGGUUUUUAGGCCAAUGCUUUCAUCUGACAAGCUGCUGAGCCCAGGAAGACGCCGCUUGGGAAAAGAUGGGUACAUGCUGAGACUAUGGGGCCAGAGAAAUGGAGCUGCUGCUGCUGCUGCCGCCGCCGCCCCUUGCAGCUUCUUUCAGGAAAUCCGGGUGACAAAAUGUGAACGAAGCACAGAAGCAACCUGAAACUGACUUACUAAGGCCCUUUUCCUUAAAAUGUGGAGAGCUGCAAGAACAUGUGGUUGGACUGUGCAAGCCUCCUCUGUUCAGGCAACGUCUGUAGGCAGAGGGAGAAUCUUGUUGGUACCGGGUCAGGAUUGAGGAAGGGCAGGGGCUGACAGCUGACAGCUGGAAAAAGGUAAUUUUAACUUACCACACCUGUCAAGUUAGCAGUCGCAGGAUCCCCCUCAUUCCUUGGAGCUGGGGAAGGGGGCUUAAUGGAGAAGCCCCAAGGUUAUCUUUUAGGUGCUCAGGUUGAAUGAGCUGUCUCCAGACCCAUUGUGGUUUAGACAGUGCUAACAUCACUUCGGUGUUUAUCAUCUUGUUUUAGAAACCAAGGAGAAGGGGAUUUUCUUCAUUCUUUCAUCACCUUGUCAGUUCAGAUAUGACACAUACAGUAUGUGCUAUUUAAAGGAGCAGCAGCCUUCUUAGCAAUGAUGCAAGGCGAAGAAGCUAUUUGUUACAACAAAAGUAAUGAUCUUUCUCAGCGCUAGCCAAACACUUUAAAUGCUACACUAUACCAGCCGUCUACCUUGACAAAUCUACUGUAUUUACUCGAGUCUAAUUCACUAUUGAAUCUAAUGCACACCUCAGUUAUCAGAACCUCGAAACCAUAAAUAGUAUUUGCUGGCGAAUGUAAAAGUGCCAUCGAAUCUAAUGCACACCUUAAUUAUCACAAUAUCAUUUAGCCAAAAAAGAGGUGAGCAUUAGAUUCAAGUAAAUACGGUAUUAAGAUUCCAUAAUGUAUAAAGGUAAAGGGUAAAGAGACCCCUGGCCAUUAGGUCCAGUCGUGGCCGACUCUGGGGUUGCGGCUCUCAUCUCACUUUAUUGGCUGAGGGAGCCGGCGUACAGCUUCUGGGUCAUGUGGCCAGCAUGACUAAGCUGCUUCUGGUGAACCAGAGCAGCGCACGGAAACACCGUUUACCUUCCCGCCAGAGCAGUACCUAUUUAUCUACUUGCACUUUGACGUGCUUUUGAACUGCUAGGUUGGCAGGAGCAGGGACCAAGCAACGGGAGCUCACCCCGUCGUGGGGAUUCGAACCACCGACCUUCUGAUCGGCAAGCCCCAGGCUCUGUGGUUUAACCCACAGCGCCACCUGUGUCCCCAUAAUGGUAUAUGUGUUGGUAAAAUAGGAAUGAAGUUCCAAGCUCACAUCUACCGUGCAUGUGUAUCAGUGGAAAAGGCUGGGUAUGCCUACAGUCAAAAAAAGACAAAUUCAAAGCGUUAUAAUAAAUGGCUGUACAGUAACGAAGCCUGCUGUUCUUCCUGUCUUUGAAUAUGAGAGUAAAGGAACAUUCACUAUGGGGAAUGGGUAAAAAUGGAAGCUGGCUAAAUAAAAUGCCUUCUCCACCAAAGGUUAUCAACUUUUCCAAUGAUCGUUACACAUUAUUGAUUGAUUGAUUGAUUGAUUGAUUGAUUGAUUUGAUUUGAAUACAGCCUUAUACCUGCAGGUCUCAGGGCCGUUCACAGGAUAAAAUUCAGUGAAUGUGUGUGACAUGACAGGAUUGCAACAGUAAAGUUCCCAGCCAGGACCACCCAUGCAAUCCCUACAUGCCUGCUUUGCAUGUCAAGGAACCCUGUUAAGAAACACAGCCCUGGCUAUGCACGCAGUUUGUAUGUAGGUAGGGACUACGCAGAGUGUCUUAUGAACAUGUCUAUGCUAGAAAGAGGACCAGGGCUUGCCACCAUAAUCCUGCUUCUCCACCGAGUAAGGUGUUCAUUUGAAAAAUGUGCAGAGCAGUCUCUGAAACUUUGAGACUGAUGGCAAUUUUAGUCAUGCACAUAAACAUGCUAGAGAGCAUUAGGGGUUUUCAGAGAUGGUUGCAGCAUACAUCUCAGGUUAAUAACAGAAUUGCUCAGGCUCUUCCUCCACCAUAUAUAGGGGGAAACAAAAAUGGACAGCUUGACUGGCAUUCCUUGCUCCUGCUCUUACAUGGCGGCUGGGGAAGGGGCACAGAUCCAAGCAAAGAGUUUGAGAGGUUAAAAACCUGCGGGAAGUAGAGGGCUGCCCGAAUGAUGGCUCAUCAUCACAUCCAGGAAUAGCAAGGUGCUGGUGCUGCCCUGAUUUGAAGCUACUGGCAGGAGACGGGCACUUUGGUGGGGAGUUGUGAAGGGGAAUUCAUCAUAUCUUCAGCACAAGUUAGCUAAAUCUUUUGGGACACCAUUUUGUAUGACAAGAUAAUCAUGGUGGUAGGUGCAGACCCCUAUGCUUUUACAGUACUGGGACGGUGUUGUUUGUGGGUGGGAAGUCUGCUCACAUGGUAAUAAAACCAUGCUGCUGUUCAGUGACUGUAUAGUUGACUCUGUGAAGGUCCAAGCAAAUCACAAAGCAAUGGUGGCACAUGUAGGGUCUGUGAAAACGUCACAAAUGUGCGCACAACCCGGUUCCUAUUUGUUGGGUUAAUAAAGGACAUCCAAAAACAUGAACUGGAGAUUGGGUUCUGAUCCAAUUGGAUGUUCCCUUUCAUCCUUCCUUAUGGAGCCAAAGCUCUAUUGUAAAAUUUAAUUCCCAUACAUCAUUUGCUGUGAAAUUUGUAUGCGAAAGUAUUAGAGGAGUGUGUAAAAAGUUACUGCUGCCUUCUUAAAAGGAUCUGUCUUUUCCAUGACACAUAAUUCAUUUACCAACAUAAAAGGGAAAUGACUCACCUUUCAUCCAAACAAGAACUCCUAAAGCUUAGCCGACAGCACCUGUCUGGGACUUGGUUACUUAUUAACUAAUUGCUAGCCAAAGGUGUCCUGGGAAAUAAAGAGUUUGCUUAAGUUUCUUCCAGCCUGGAAUUUGAAUGACCUCUCCUUGCUUGUCAAAUAGGAUUUGUACACUGAGCAAUGUAUAUAAUAUGAUCUUGCACUUAGCCAGUGGUCAGUGAGUGCCCAACAAUCGAUUUCUGGAUAAGGUUUUAAAAUAGCUGCCAAAAACUACAUCUGCUAAGAGGCAACUACCCAACUCUAGAGAUCAAAAUUCUGAUUUUGUUGCCUAAAAAGCAAACAUAGGCACUACAAACAUUUUUACUACCUAAUAAAAAUAUGGCCGGAUACCUUUAGCUGAAGAAAUUCACACUGACAUGUGGGUUUCCGUAUCUUUCUCCUUUACUUCCUUCCCUUCAGUGCCCUUCUUGCGAUUGACAGGAGAAAUGCCGCAGUAAUGCUGUAGCAGCUGGCAGAAUUCUCCCUUCAGUGCUGCUCUUAGACACAGGAUUCCAUCUUAGGAGUCUCCAGACCAAUGGUGAGGAAACUGUGGCCCUCCAGAUGUUGUCGAAUCACAACUCCUGUCAUCCCUGACAUUAGCAGGCUGGGGCUAAUGGGAGUUGUCAUCCAACAACAUCUGGAGUGCCACAAGUUCUGCAUCUUUGGGGUAGACGUGCCAAAAUUAUAUCUCCUUGGCUCCUUAGCUUGCAAUCCCCAAACCUGCUCCCCAGGCCCCUGUCUCCUCCGCUUACCCUUCCCUCAGGUUCAUGAACAUCAGUGCACUGAUUGCUCUACCCCGUUCCUUCAGCUCACCUUUUUCUUCUCCCUGGCUUCUUUAGCCACUUUCUGGUCAGUCAACUUUCCAAUAACAGCCUAUGUGAAAUUUAAAUCCCAGUCAAGCAGAGAACUAUCCAUUUUCAUAGACUCCUGACUAGGGAUGGAAGGGUCUGUCAAUUUUGGUUCUCUCUAUUUCUCAAUUUUCCCAUCUUAAAUUCAGUCCUGCAGCAAAUUACUAGCAUUUUAGUGUGCAUUCCUCCUAAUAAACACAUUUUCAUAUGCAGUUUUGAAUAAUGUCCACUUUUAUAUCACCUACCAUAAUGCAUUAUUGUAUGCUAUUUUCAGUGAUAUAUGCAAUUUUUAUGCUCCAACAGUUAAGUACAGUUGCGAAUGACUCUGGGGUUGCGGCGCUCAUCUCACUUUAUUGGCUGAGGGAGCUGGCGUUUGACUAAGCCGCUUCUGGUGAGACCAUAGCAGUGCAUGGAAAUACCGUUUACCUUCCCACCGGAGCGGUACCUAUUUAUCUACUUGCACUUUGACGUGCUUUCAAACUGCUAGAUUGGCAGGAGCUGGGACCGAACAAUGGGAGCUCACCCCGUCACAGGGAUUCGAACUGCCGACCUUCUGAUUGGCAAGCCCAAGGCUCAGUGGUUUACACCACAGCGCCACCUGCAUCCCAUCACUUUCCCCUAAUGUAUGCUUGGGUUUGUUUUGAAAACUUUGGUUGAUUGAAAAAUUCAAAUCGCUGCGAAUUUUGAAGGAUGACUCAGUUUAGGUUCUCAUAUUGUUUCAGAAAUGACAAAGUUCAUAGAUAGGUGUGAACUGAGUUGAAUUUCACCUCUAUUCCUAACCCUUACUGUGAACUUUUUGAUGUGGAUGCUUGGACUUCACAGUGCUCAAGCCAGGCGAUGCAUUACCUUGAGUUCUACAUGUUUUUGGAUCCGCUUGGAUAGGGAUGCAUGAGGAUCAAACUUUUCACACACCAGAAGAUAUUGAACUUGACAUGAACUUUCCUUCCAACAUCUUCAGCCAUGAAGAAGAUUAUUGUAUUGUAUUGUGCUGUGCUGUGCUGUGUUGUGCUGUGUUGUGCUGUGUUGUGCUGUGCUGUGCUGUGUUGUGUUGUGUUGUGUUGUGUUGUUGGACCAUUCUAAAAUGGCACUGGAGUUCUGUUUUUCCACUCCACCCCCUUUAAAAGCAGGUGUAUUCAGAACCAAGCUGGAAUUAUGGUGUGUGUGUGAGAGAGAAAUUUCGUUCUGCUGGCUUCACAUGAAUGCAUUGCAAACUUGCAAACAGAAUGCCAGGGAAGCGAGUUAACCCAAAUGUUUAAUCUCCCUAAAGCUGCCCUCAGAUAUGGUGGAAAGUAAGCUGUGACUUACUAAUAGACUCUAAAUCUUGCAUUGCUAUUUCGUAGAGGUAGCUUUGUUCUGUAGCUUGCUUGCUUCCUGAUUGUUCUGUCACCAAAAGGGAGGGAAAUCGUUCUGCUGCACUCAGAACCAAGAUUAAGGGGUGCCUUUUUAAAAUAAAGCAGCUAAGGGGAGGGGGGCUUUUCAGUUUUAAUUGCUGCCAGGGGGAUGUUGUACGGUGAAAACUGCCAGAAUCGUUUCCUUUCCUGUUUUGUUUUUCUGCCCACACAGUUUUGCAGUUGCCGAUAAACAAAAUUCCAAGUCCCAGCAAGAGGUUUUCCCCCUCCUCCUGAAUCAGAAAAAAACACCCUGUGCUGAAGAGCGAGCGCAUGCUUUGCUGAACUAAUAGAAGGAGGUGGAGGAACAGGAGAACUUUGUGACAAGCAGAUAGAUCUAGAUCCACAUUAUUAUUGUUUUUAUUCUUGGUCCUUUUGCUGUUUUCUCUGGAUAGGGAUGUCUUCCUGUCCCGCUGCUUGAGGUGGAAUUUGCACAUUUACAGCUUGUGCCCUUGUACGGAGGCCAGCUCCAACUCUAGCAGUUUAUGCCGCCUCCUCUUAUGGCCUGAGGGAAUCUCUGUGACUCGGGGGUUAGAGAAGAAGAGCGUGGGGGUUGGAGGCCAGGACUCUUUGACCCUGGAGACCCUGUUGCCUCGCUGCAUGUGUGGGCCAUUGGCUGAAUCAUUUAGCCUCACUGUGUGUUUCUGGGAGUUUUCAACUGCUGGGUAACCAAGCUUCCCUCCUUGCCAGAAAGCAGUAACUUGAGGUUUAUAAGCCUGAUUUCCCCCGAUAAAGGAUGCUAUGUGCUUCUUGGUUCUCUCUCUUCUUUACUCAGCUCAAUCCAGAUGUAGGUGUGUAAAUGUACAAGCACAUUCAGCUUGCUGUUUGAAAUGGGACGGAGGAAGGUUUGGUCUAUAAAUCCAAUAAAAUAAUUGUGCAUGGUACCCUUUCAUAUUGGCCAGGGAUGUGGAACCUGUCACCCAGUUCCCCCGGAGAAGGGUUCACAUGGAAACACUACUGCCACUGAUAUUUUUCUAGAAAAAGAGGUGUCGGGACUCACCAUGAAUGCCUCCCUUGUUCUCCCUCGGGUUACAGACGCUUCAGGUUACAGACGCUUCAGGUUACAGACUCUACUAACCCAGAAAUAAUACCUCAGGUUAAGAACUUUGCUUCAGGAUGAGAACAGAAAUUGUGUGGUGGCGACACAGCAGCAGCGGGAGGCCCCAUUAGCUAAAGUGGUGCUUCAGGUUAAGAACAGUUUCAGGUUAAGAACGGACCUCCGGAACGAAUUAAGUUCUUAACCCGAGGUACCACUGUAAUGGCAAUGGCACCCACCUGAGAGGAUUGCCGGAACUGAGCUCACUGGGUGACGUUGUGCCAGCUGCUCCAUCUCAGCCUGACUUACCUCACAUGGUUGUUGUGUGGAUAUAAAUGGGGAGAACCAUGUACACGUCCUUGGAGGAGAACGUGGUAUACAAACAUCAGAAACAAAGCAAACAAAUAAUUUAGCUGGCUUCAGUUUAGUGCUUCACUAAUGUUCGUUGCUACUUGCGUCUCCCUAAGCGGUUCCCAGAAAGAUUCAGAAUCUUAUGGGCAGCAGCAAGUGGCUCUUGAGACGACUUCCAAGCUUUCUUAACUUACAGUAGGGACAAGGAACCAUUUCCCUUUCCUUGCUGCAGUAUAUUGUGGGCUCUUUUCAUGGGAAGGGAAGCAGCAUCUACUGCUGUCUCCAAGGCUGGGAUACUGGGGAUAACAACUCCAAAUGGGAGACAGUUGGGGUGAAAAGUUGCCGCAAACAACCUUUCAUUUUUUGCAGCAGCGGUAGUGAUGGUGGUAUGCAGACAUUUCCACCCUGGAUCUUGGCAUCUGCUCACAUUUUUUGCUAUGACUGUACUUCGUUCCGAGGCAGAAAACGCUUGACUUGUAAAAAACUGGCUAAAGAUUUAUUACUGCCAUCUCUGGAGCAAGGAUUUGAAAUCCUGACUUCCACAGCGGCAUUCCUGUGUCCCUCUUGGAAGGCUGCUUGGCACCUAUGUCUGAGCCUGGGUGGGGCAUUUCGUGAAAGAGCUUUGAUCUCUCCUGGCAACAUACUUUCAAACAAGCCGCAGAAGGAGCAACAUUACCUGAGAGGGUGAGAUAACAGGUAACAGCUUUCUGCGCAGGGCCUGUGAUAAUUCUGCUCUUUAUGGGGCUUUGAUUGCAGCAGGAUACUUAGGAGCCCAAGGAAACUUCAAAAGCUGCGCACACUGCCAUUGCACCACCUUGUGCAAAGAACCGUAAGAGGGGCGGGCGUGUGUAUAGAGGCAUGUUUAUUACUCUCAUUGAGAAAUAUUUGCACUAGCUCAAAUACUAAAGCAGGAAGUAACAGUGUUGUUUUCCAGCUUGCAGAGUUAGAAAACAAAAGAAAAGAACGGCUGUGCCAAGAUUGGCUUUAAAUUUCUCAGCUUCUGCCAUUCUUAGGGAAACAUGGAGUAAAACAGGCUUAUCACUGAAUUUGCCAUACGAGAACGGAGAUAGAUACGGGUUCAGCCUUUCUAUGCCCAAUUACAUAUGUAAGGUAAAGUUAAAGGGACCCCUGACUAUUAGGUCCAGUCGUGACUGACUCUGGGGUUGUGGCGCUCAUCUUGCUUUAUUGGCCAAGGGAGCCGGUGUUUGUCUGCAGACAGCUUCGGGGUCAUGUGGCCAGCAUGACUAAGCCACUUCUGGCAAACCAGAGCAGCGCAUGGAAAUGCCGUUUCCCUUCCCGCCGGAGCGGUACCUAUUUAUCUACUUGCACUUUGACGUGCUUUCGAACUGCUAGGUUGGCAGAAGCUGGGACCGAGCAACGGGAGCUCACCCCAUCACAGGGAUUCAAACUGCUGACCUUCUGGUCGGCAAGUCCUAGGCUCUGUGGUUUAACCCACAGCGCCACCCGUGUCCCAAUUAGAUAUGUACUUAAUAUGGAAUAGGCAGAUCCGUAUCUUGUUUUUCCUUAGCCAAUUAAAGGUGCAGGAGAGCCCAGUUCUCACAGUGAAGGCAGUAAAUGCUGGUGGGGAGACUGAUCUUUUCAUCACUCCUGCACCUCGUUUGGCAUAGACGCUCCCUGCCGCAGCUGUGGAGCUAGGAGCCAUGGAGGGAAAGAUCACCACUGGCACUAUUUGGAAAUGCUUGUGUAAAGUGACAAUAAAAAGCUCAAUGAAUAAAACAGUGGUGAUAAUCCCAGGAUGUAUUGCUACCCUUCACAGUUAAUUGGACAGACGUAAUUCACUGUUAAUAGUUGGGCAGGUUGCUUUGAGCCGCUUCUUCACUGAGACAAUUUCAUCCUGUCAUAACCAGGGGGAGUCCUUCCUCAGGAUGAAACAUUUUUUGGUGAGGUGGUCAGGAAUAGCAUCUGCACCACUGCCAUUUUUCCACGGAAGCUAGGAAUUCCUUUUUUUAAAAAAAAAAUCAGCAAAAUAAAAUCAAAAUUGCUCAAGUGACUUUCGAGUCCAACUCCAUUUAAACGAUAAUUUCUAGAGCACGGGCACUGAGGAAGGAUCCAUUUCCCUCAGAGUGAGGCAGAGAGGUGGGUGGGGAGUAGAGAGAGCAAAACUCUCUACCAGUAAGUGACAAGGAAAGUGAAAGGGAGAUAGCCCCUUGUCUUGGACCACCUAAGACAGAUCACCAACCAAAUAGCAAAAGCAGUGCCGAUUUAAAACUAGGACCCAAAUAAUUUUUCAGUAUCUUAAAUCCUACUGCUGAGGCGUGCAACAAGAAAGCAGGUAUACUUAUAGGCAGACACAACUGUGUCCAAGAGUUAAAGUUUCUGGCCUCUGGCUUCACGCUGGUCAAACAUUGCCCAGAUGCUGGAAGGUAUGUCUUGUUAGCCCCUAAAAGCAUAACAGAGCCCACUUGUUUCGCCUGCGAGGGAGUGUGCGCGACGGUUAUUUGUCCAAGCUAAUUUCCUUUUUCACCACCACCCAUUCCUAAUUCAGCUUUCCCUCCCAGAAUUAGUUCUACUGAGCACAGUGGCAAAGCAGAACCUCUUCCCUCUGGCCUUCUGUUUAUCAUCUUCUGUCAAGCGCAUGCUGUUUCCAGGCAACGGAAAGGAAGUGCCAGCUAGGGCCACGUGGUUGUGGCCAGUCAUUUCGUGUUAGCAUCCUGGGGCAAAGUCUCAUUUAUUUCUAAUCUAAUGUUUCUAGGGGAACGACACAGUCAGCGUGUCCCGUACUCUGUGCCAGUUUAGACAAAACUGCCUCUCUUGGUUUCUACUUUCCUUGGAACUAGUUCUCAUAAGGAUUGUGUUUACAGUUUCUGGCUGAAUAUUUAUUAAGUUUCGUAAUUUUUUAUUUAUUUUCUUUAAAAAAAAAUAUACACAGCUUAGUCCGAGAUAAACUUUGUUCUUUUCAUUUCGUUCUACUGAUAAAACGUGCCACUCCAAAACUGCAUAACACAUUUGGAAUAUAGUUUGAUACAGAUUUAGCCCAACAUGUUUCAAGUAGCGUUUUGUUUGGAUAUGGUGUUUUAAAUGGUGGUGGUGGUGGGGGAGAGGAUAGAUUCUCGCCCCCCACCCCACCCACUUCCUCCAGUCUGGCAUUUCUCAAGCCACAUUUAUGGACUCAUUCUCACAAUCCUGCUACUCUGUGUAUCCCCCCCUGCCCCCGCCCAAUGAAUGAACAGAGCUUCAGUCCUGCAGCGCUGGAGUGCUUUUAAUAAUGCUAUUUUCGAGGAUGUAAGAAAAUGAAAAGAAUGGAAAUGGAAGAAUAGUUGUUAAGCACAUUAGGACGUAAUCAGUUAGCAUUAAAAUUAAUUCUGGAUGAUUCAUGUAUCUGUAAGAGGACAGGGGAGAUACAGUGGUACCACAGGUUAAGUACUUAAUUCGUUCUGGAGGCCUGUACUUAACCUGAAACUGUUCUUAACCUGAAGCACCACUUUAGCUAAUGGGGCCUCCUGCUGCUGCUGCGCCGCCGCUGCACGAUUUCUGGUCUCAUCCUGAAGCAAAGUUCUUAACCCAAGGUAAAAUUUCUGGGUUAGCGGAGUCUGUAACCUGAAGCAUAUGUAACCUGAAGCAUAUGUAACCCAAGGUACCACUGUAUAAGGUCACAUUUACACCAGUGAUUUUUCAGAGGUAAAAUGGAGAAUUCAGGAGCCUUGACCUGCUUCUUCAUUAGGAUGUUAUCAAUAAGCAUCUGUAUCUGAGUUUAACAACUAAGUAUUUUUUUAAAGAAACUGUCUGCUUUUUAAUUUGCUCUUAUAUUUCCUUCCCUCAUGAGCAGUGUUAGAAACUCAGACAUAUAAGCUAGGUGCCAAAUGGCUUCUUAAACCAGGGUUACAGUUGCCAAAACAGAAUGCCUUGUUGCCAUUUGUGGGGCCAGGCAGAUCGAAAGUUGUAUUUUCCGAUAUGACUUUUUGGUUCCUGAAAUUCAUUCUGAUUGUGCAGAUAAAAUAUAACGGAUAGAAUUCUACAGCAUGUGUUGCUCGUGUAUGAAAACAGGCCAGAUUCAAGGAUCCUCAGGCAUGCCCCUCCAGAUGGUGGAGACAUCAGGUGCCAUCCUGCUGCCCAGGCAUCUUCACUUGGUCACAAGUGGCUGAUAGCCAGGUGCAAAAUGCGCCUGGUGCCUGGCCAAUUUCAAACACUGCUCAUGAAUCCAAUUCGGUCAAGGAAUCACUCCCUCUUGUGAAAAUUCUGCCUUUUGUGAGUUAGACGAGGAUUGCUCAGAAUGAGACUUCUACUGCUUACAAGCUUGUCUGCCAUUAUCAUACAUGAUAAGUAUUUUGGCAUAACGGAUGCUCCUAUAUAAUAUGUGCUGCUCUGUUUCUCCUAUUUAAUUAGUCCCAGCUCACUGUGAAAUCUAGUUAAAAUGUGCUCUAUGGAUACACUUGCAUCUCCCCAUUUUCAUAAGGGCGUUUCAGUCUCCCUCUACACACUGGCCAUGAUUUGAAUGCUACUUGUGCUUUAGAUCCUGGUUUAUAUUCCUAGUUCCUUAAACCAUAUUCAGCUUGAGUUUCCCAGUUCAGACCUAACUUAAUUCAAGCCAGCAUCUCAGCACUCAAACCAGCAUGCAAUGCCAAGGAGAAGGCCAAGGGUAGAGCUUGUAGCUGUGGUGCUAAUCUAUGGUAAUACCUGGUCCCAAAAGCUAUGAACCCAACCACUAUAGGGACAUUACCCAUCUGUUUGAAUUCAGAUUCCUGUAAAUUGAAGGUGGUGAUUUAAAGGGCGAAAGAAAGUGAUGGGAGAUUUUCUCUUUCCAUAUCCCCUCACUUUGAAGUUGCAUCGUCCCUUCCAGAAUUGGAGCCAGACCAGGGCUGGUAGCUCCAAGGAGGAAAAUCACAACUGGGCAAAGGGUUAUGCAAGCUCCCCCUGCCUGCUCUUUAAAGUACACAGUUUAUAGGAAUUAAGAAGCAUCUUGCUUCUAACACACCAAUUUUGCCACUUUCACGUCUAGUUCACUGCAUAGUCUAGGUCGCAGGUGGGCUCCCUGCAACCCUAGGGCUACGUGGGACCUUUUGCCUAAUUUUAUCUGGUCUUCAGCCUAAUUUCAAAAGCCCUCUGCAAGUGAUUAGGCCUUUUGGUAAGGAAGAAGUAGAAGAAGACAGAUGGCUAGCUAGAUACAUAGAAACAUGCAGAGAUACAUAGAUUGAUACAUUGAUACAUAGAUAUAUGGAUACAUAAAUCAACACAGAUGGAUACAUAGAUACAGAUACAUAGAUGGAUACAUGGUAACAUAGACACGUAGGUGCAUUGAUGGAUACAAUUUUGGAAUACAGUGGUACCUCGGUUUACGAACUUAAUCCGUUCCUGAAGUCCAUUCUUAAACCAAAUCCAUUCUUAAACCGAGGUGUGCUUUCCCUAAUGAGGCUUCCUGCCGCCGGUGCCCUUCCACCGUUUAGCUUCCGUUCAUAGACCGAGGUAAAGUUUGCAAACUGGGACACUAAUUCCGGUUUUACGGCGUUUGUAAACCGAAUAGUUCGUAAAGAGGGCUGUUCGUAAACCGAGGUACCACUGUCUAAUGUAGCAGGAGGAGGGAGGAAAACAGGGAUGAAAGAAAGAGAAAGGGCUCUGACCUGCCAGUCACUGGCAUUGGCCCUGCUCUUAGCCAGAAUGCUUCCUCUGACAGAUUUUCUCCAACAGAUCCCCCUGGAUAGAAAAUACAGCUGUCCAUCCCCGAUUUCCACGACCAUAUGUUUGGUGGCUGUUCAAUAUCAAGCUGAGGUCAGAGUUAGCCCUCCAGAGUCUUGCUAUUGAAGUGGAUUGUUCUGCUGAAGCAAGAUCCAUGCAUGUCAAAAUGAAACACAUAUAUAAUUUAUUUCAUCUGUCAAAUGUUAAGUGUCUUUGUCAAUGGGAGAAAGAAUGUGUAGUUCUGUUGUUGUUUUUUUAAUGGCACAAUGGUUUCCAUAGCAAACUGACCAUUGCUUCGUUUUUCUUUUCCUGUAGGAUCACAUGUCAAAAUAAGAAGGUAAUCAGUGCACAGAGGAUGCUGACAGAAAGGCCAAGAUGCAGAAGACCCAACUGUUUGUGCAGAAAGGACCUCACCUGAUGGAGGAAACCUCUUUGGAAAUGUCAGGAAGGCUUAUGCUUAUGACUUGUAGUCCACCAGCUGCUAAGAUCUGAAACAGAUGUCUGGUGAAGAGAGGAGCUCUCAUCUCAUGAUCAGCAGAAGUGGAGUAUGGGAUCUUCAGCUAGCAGAAUGCUACGUCAAGCUACCUCACCAGUAUCUAUACAUAAUGAAGCAAGUUAACUUUGGUUUGUUUCCCCUGGUUUUACAGUUUCCAGAUGUUCCCUCCUUCUCCGCUGUGCCUGUAUAGUCACCUCCACCAGAGACCUGAAAACCACUUGGGGAAAGGGAACAGCCAUUUGGUCCAAACAGGAGUAUAUGCCACACACACACACCCUUUGUUGUUGAAAGAUUCAAAUAUGGCAAUGGAAAUAGCUGUGAAUUUUCCCAAUGUCCUCUGCAUCUCUUGUGCCUCUUCUUUCAUUGCUGAUUUAAUGAUUCAGUGGAAGUUCAGGAUGCCCAGAUGAUCAACGGGAAGAUUGGAACAAGAAGAUUGUUUUGUUGUUGUUGUCCUGAUGUAUCAAUAAAAUCAUAAUUUUUUUUUAAAAAAAGAAAAUUGGACUAUAUAUACCCAGUGUUGGGGGCCCACAGAAUUUAAAUCUGUUCCCGGGGAAUUAAUGGUCAGUUUUACAAAUUUUACUGUGAGUUGUCACAUGGAAACCCAGGAAAUACAAACUGUCAUUCUUCUGUCAAAAGGAAAUUAUAAUGUCACAUAUACUUAUACCGAAGAGUCCAUCUGACAUACAAAAGACAGCCUCAAAUGAGCAUGGAUAAGCAUGGGAAGUUUUAUUGUUUCAUGUUUUAAUUAUGUUGUUGGGAGCUGCCCAGAGUGGCUGGGGCAUACUAGUUGGAUGGGCCUCAUAUAAAAAUUAUUAUUAUUAUUAUUAUUAUUAUUAUUAUUAUUAUUAUUUUACUGGAAUAAGGUGAGAAUGCAUUAGAACUGUACCUUUUCUAAGUGAGGUUAUAAGAGAGAUGAAAGUAAAUUUCAGCUUGUAAAGUAGCUGAAAGCAGCCUUCUGCAACCCCCAUCACCCUCAGGCAUUAUGGACAGCUGUCAGGCAUGAGGGCAGAGGCAUUUUUAGGGUAGUUGCACUGGACACCGGCACCACAGGGGGCACUUCAACAGUGAUGUUGAACGGAACACAAAAAGGCUCCAUUUGGGAGACCAAAAUCUGCCACUGAUGAAGGGAGUCUAUUUGGGUUUUUUAUUCAAAGUGUUGAUCCUGACCUUUAAAGCCCUACAUGGUUUCGGUCCAGUAUACCUGAAGGAGUGUCUCCACCUCCAUCGUUCUGCCCAGACACUGAGGUCCAGCUCCGAGGGCCUUCUGGUGGUUCCCUCACUACGAGAAGUGAAGUUACAGGUAACCAGGCAGAGGACCUUCUCGGUAGUGGCGCCCGCCCUGUGGAAUGCCCUCCCAUCAGAUGUCAAAGAAAUAAACAACUGUCGGACUUUUAGAAGACAUCUGAAGGCAGCCCUGUUUAGGGAAGCUUUUAAUGUUUGAUGCAUUACUGUAUUUUAAUAUUCUGCUGGAAGCCGCCCAGAGUAGCUAGGGAAACCCCGCCAGAUGGGUGGGGUAUAAAUAAUAAAUUAUUAUUAUUAUUAUUAUUAUUAUUAUUAUUAUUAUUAAUUUAACAAAAUGCAUAUUGUAGGAAAAACUCUGAGUGGUUUAAAUAAAAGAUUUAAAUUAUCAAUGUAAAAGCAGGUAUUUUAAAAUCAACAAUAACUAAACAAAGAACUAAAAAUCCAACCAGCUCAGUUGGUGAGAGCCUGAUUGCAUCAAGGUUGCAAGAAUUUAAAACAACUGGUCAGCAACAACAAAAAUACUACAAAGUAAAUAAGAGAAAGAGGGGGAGUGAUUUCAAAAUAAAAAUACCAUAAAAUGCAAAAUACAGACUCGUACCAAUGUUAGUCAUACCCAUAAUGACUAGGUCCAUUAAUAUCAGAGGGUCUGCUCUGAAUAGUCAUUGGAUACAGCCCACAGACACAUCUGUGUCAGGGCAGAGCCCAAAAUAUCUGUUUAAAUUGGUAACUGAGUUAUAAAAGGGCGUGAAUGCAAAAUAAUCUCCUGGCUUUAUUCAGGUUUUCUGACAGAUCUCUUGGCUGCUCUCCUGGGUACAUGGAAGAGUUUGUGGUGGAAUUAUAUGUUUCCCCAUCAAGUGAGUUGACCUGAGCAGUUCAUGAUUAGCAAAAGUUCUGUUGUGACUUGCUGGGGAUUCUGUUAAGGGAUCGUAUAGCUGUUUAGAAAGAGAAAUGAUUAUGGGAAGCAAAAGUAUGUGUUUUAUCGUGCAUUUGACAGUGGCAUAUUCAAGGGCAAGGUGGGCAACAAGCUAUUAGAAAUACUGUGCUAUCUAUGAUGCCCUUCUGUGGAAAAGGAUCUGAAGUUCCUGGUUGGUGAGCACACACUUUCAAAUGCAGAAGGUCCAGUGAUGAAAAUGUUCCCUUGCAAAUGUGUGUUUUCUGUACCACCGAACAGCAAAAUACACCAAAUCCACACAUCUCAAAAGAAUGUGGGGUGGUUAAUAUGCUUAAAAUUGAGUCACUUGUUUACUCAUGAUACAUUCCUUUUAAAAAGCCAAAACCAGGGCUCCAUGUAGAUGGUUGCUUUUCAAAAACUUGUAGAGCCCUCUCAGUCUGCAGUCCACAUCCCUACUUUUCACAGGUCCAGCCGUGAUAUCUGGUUGUCAUGAACUGGCAGGAUGACAGGCAAGGCAGAAGAGGAUCCUGACGAGGGGUGUAGCUGGGACUGGGACACACCGGGGCAAGCGAGGGAUGGGGAAGGAAGUACUCACAGGAUGGCGGAGGGUGGUGAGGGGAUGGGUGUCAGUGCACAGGAACCAGAGCAGCAGGACCAAUCACUAGAGCCACAAGUAUGGGAGGCUCUGAGGCGUAAGGAG